UACGUAGGUGGCAAGCGUUAUCCGGAAUUAUUGGGCGUAAAGAGCGCGCGGGUGGUUGAUUAAGUCUGAUGUGAAAGCCCACGGCUUAACCGUGGAGGGUCAUUGGAAACUGGGUCACUUGAAUAUAGAAGAGGAAAGUGGAAUUCCAUGUGUAGCGGUGAAAUGCGUAGAUAUAUGGAGGAACACCAGUGGCAAAGGCGACUUUCUGGUCUAUUAUUGACGCUGAGGCUCGAAAGCAUGGGUAGCAAACAGGAUUAGAUACCCGUGUA
Molecule: ribosomal RNA, 269 nt
Filed under: uncultured prokaryote
Description: partial 16S ribosomal RNA
Rfam family: Bacterial small subunit ribosomal RNA
Source: RNAcentral